AGUGAACGCUGGCGGUAGGCCUAACACAUGCCAGUCGAACGGCAGCACAGUAAGAGCUUGCUCUUACGGGUGGCGAGUGGCGGACGGGUGAGGAAUACAUCGGCAUCUACUUUUUCGUGGGGGAUAACGUAGGGAAACUUACGCUAAUACCGCAUACGACCUACGGGUGAAAGCAGGGGAUCUUCGGACCUUGCGCGAUUGAAUGAGCCGAUGUCGGAUUAGCUAGUUGGCGGGGGAAAGGCCCACCAAGGCGACGAUCCGUAGCUGGUCUGAGAGGAUGAUCAGCCACACUGGAACUGAGACACGGUCCAGACUCCUACGGGAGGCAGCAGUGGGGAAUAUUGGACAAUGGGCGCAAGCCUGAUCCAGCCAUACCGCGUGGGUGAAGAAGGCCUUCGGGUUGUAAAGCCCUUUUGUUGGGAAAGAAAAGCAGCAGGUUAAUACCCCGCUGUUCUGACGGUACCCAAAGAAUAAGCACCGGCUAACUUCGUG
This 492-nucleotide ribosomal RNA is filed under the name uncultured bacterium. RNAcentral describes it as "partial 16S ribosomal RNA". It matches the Rfam family "Bacterial small subunit ribosomal RNA", at positions 29 to 507 of the family's 1533-position model. The record is from RNAcentral.